CCAGACUCCUACGGGAGGCAGCAGUGGGGGAUAUUGCACAAUGGGGGAAACCCUGAUGCAGCGACGCCGCGUGGACGAAGAAGUAUUUCGGUAUGUAAAGUCCUAUCAGCAGGGAAGAAGAAAUGACGGUACCUGACUAAGAAGCCCCGGCUAACUACGUGCCAGCAGCCGCGGUAAUACGUAGGGGGCAAGCGUUAUCCGGAUUUACUGGGUGUAAAGGGAGCGCAGGCGGCAGCGCAAGUCUGAUGUGAAAGCCCGGGGCCCAACCGCGGGACUGCAUUGGAAACUGCGCAGCUGGAGUGCCGGAGGGGUAAGCGGAAUUCCUAGUGUAGCGGUGAAAUGCGUAGAUAUUAGGAGGAACACCAGUGGCGAAGGCGGCUUACUGGGCGGCAACUGACGCUGAGGCUCGAAAGCGUGGGGAGCAAACAGGAUUAGAUACCCGGGUA
RNAcentral lists this ribosomal RNA (446 nucleotides) under uncultured bacterium. Its description in RNAcentral is "bacterial SSU rRNA". It matches the Rfam family "Bacterial small subunit ribosomal RNA", at positions 331 to 792 of the family's 1533-position model. The record is from RNAcentral.